This 497-nucleotide ribosomal RNA is filed under the name uncultured bacterium. RNAcentral's name for it is "partial 16S ribosomal RNA". It matches the Rfam family "Bacterial small subunit ribosomal RNA", at positions 28 to 507 of the family's 1533-position model. The record is from RNAcentral.
GAUGAACGCUGGCGGCGUGCCUAAUACAUGCAAGUCGAGCGAACAGACGAGGGGCUUGCUCCUCUGACGUUAGCGGCGGACGGGUGAGUAACACGUGGAUAACCUACCUAUAAGACUGGGAUAACUUCGGGAAACCGGAGCUAAUACCGGAUAAUAUAUUGAACCGCAUGGUUCAAUAGUGAAAGACGGUUUUGCUGUCACUUAUAGAUGGAUCCGCGCCGCAUUAGCUAGUUGGUAAGGUAACGGCUUACCAAGGCAACGAUGCGUAGCCGACCUGAGAGGGUGAUCGGCCACACUGGAACUGAGACACGGUCCAGACUCCUACGGGAGGCAGCAGUAGGGAAUCUUCCGCAAUGGGCGAAGGCUUGACGGAGCAACGCCGCGUGAGUGAUGAAGGUCUUCGGAUCGUAAAACUCUGUUAUUAGGGAAGAACAAAUGUGUAAGUAACUAUGCACGUCUUGACGGUACCUAAUCAGAAAGCCACGGCUAACUACGUG